Molecule: non-coding RNA, 118 nt
Filed under: Vibrio ezurae NBRC 102218
Lineage: Bacteria; Pseudomonadati; Pseudomonadota; Gammaproteobacteria; Vibrionales; Vibrionaceae
Source: RNAcentral
AUUUAUCGGUGUAGGGUACAGAGGUAAGAUGUUCCAUCUUUCAGACCUUUUGUUUCACGUUAUUAGAAUUUAUAUAAAUUCAUACGCCUCAGUCGGUAUUUGACUGAGGCGUUUUUUA